Molecule: small nucleolar RNA, 213 nt
Organism: Ipomoea triloba (trilobed morning glory)
Lineage: Eukaryota; Viridiplantae; Streptophyta; Magnoliopsida; Solanales; Convolvulaceae
Product: small nucleolar RNA U3
Exons: 1
Source: RefSeq, a predicted model, not a curated record
ACGACCUUACUUGAACAGGAUCUGUUCUAUAGGCUCGUACCUCUGUAUCCUUGAGUUCUAAGGAGACAGGAAACCAAGCCUGGUGGAUGAACUAUGGCCAAGGGACUAGAGCGUGAUUAGCAGUUCCAAACCUUCACUGGGCAGAACUGUAGAGGAUCGUUCUCAGCCAUGGUUACAUGUGGUUGUGAUGGUCUCUUGGCUGUCUGACAGGCU